RNAcentral lists this ribosomal RNA (855 nucleotides) under Exiguobacterium profundum. RNAcentral's name for it is "bacterial SSU rRNA". It matches the Rfam family "Bacterial small subunit ribosomal RNA", at positions 31 to 856 of the family's 1533-position model. Lineage: Bacteria; Bacillati; Bacillota; Bacilli; Caryophanales. The record is from RNAcentral.
CGACGCUGGCGGCGUGCCUAAUACAUGCAAGUCGAGCGCAGGAAGCCGUCUGAACCCUUCGGGGGGACGACGGUGGAAUGAGCGGCGGACGGGUGAGUAACACGUAAAGAACCUGCCCAUAGGUCUGGGAUAACCACGAGAAAUCGGGGCUAAUACCGGAUGUGUCAUCGGACCGCAUGGUCCGCUGAUGAAAGGCGCUCCGGCGUCGCCCAUGGAUGGCUUUGCGGUGCAUUAGCUAGUUGGUGGGGUAACGGCCCACCAAGGCGACGAUGCAUAGCCGACCUGAGAGGGUGAUCGGCCACACUGGGACUGAGACACGGCCCAGACUCCUACGGGAGGCAGCAGUAGGGAAUCUUCCACAAUGGACGAAAGUCUGAUGGAGCAACGCCGCGUGAACGAUGAAGGCUUUCGGGUCGUAAAGUUCUGUUGUAAGGGAAGAACAAGUGCCGCAGGCAAUGGCGGCACCUUGACGGUACCUUGCGAGAAAGCCACGGCUAACUACGUGCCAGCAGCCGCGGUAAUACGUAGGUGGCAAGCGUUGUCCGGAAUUAUUGGGCGUAAAGCGCGCGCAGGCGGCCUCUUAAGUCUGAUGUGAAAGCCCCCGGCUCAACCGGGGAGGGCCAUUGGAAACUGGGAGGCUUGAGUAUAGGAGAGAAGAGUGGAAUUCCACGUGUAGCGGUGAAAUGCGUAGAGAUGUGGAGGAACACCAGUGGCGAAGGCGACUCUUUGGCCUAUAACUGACGCUGAGGCGCGAAAGCGUGGGGAGCNAACAGGAUUAGAUACCCUGGUAGUCCACGGGGUAAACGAUGAGUGCUAGGUGUUCCACGGUUUCCGCCCUUCAAUGCUGAAACUAAC